UACGGAGGGUGCAAGCGUUAUCCGGAUUCACUGGGUUUAAAGGGUGCGUAGGUGGUUUUGUAAGUCAGUGGUGAAAUCUCGGAGCUUAACUCCGAAACUGCCAUUGAUACUGCUUAACUUGAAUCAACUUGAGGUGGAUGGAAUAUUACAUGUAGCGGUGAAAUGCUUAGAUAUGUAAUAGAACACCGAUUGCGAAGGCAGUUCACUAAGGUUGUAUUGACACUGAGGCACGAAAGCGUGGGGAUCAAACAGG
RNAcentral lists this ribosomal RNA (253 nucleotides) under uncultured bacterium. Its description in RNAcentral is "partial 16S ribosomal RNA". It matches the Rfam family "Bacterial small subunit ribosomal RNA", at positions 524 to 776 of the family's 1533-position model. The record is from RNAcentral.